Molecule: ribosomal RNA, 253 nt
Filed under: uncultured bacterium
Lineage: Bacteria
Description: partial 16S ribosomal RNA
Rfam family: Bacterial small subunit ribosomal RNA
Source: RNAcentral
UACGGAGGGGGCAAGCGUUAUUCGGAAUUAUUGGGCGUAAAGGGCGCGUAGGCGGCUAGAUGUGUCAAAGGUGAAAUCCCUCGGCUCAACUGAGGAACUGCCUUUGAAACUGUCUGGCUUGAGGCCGGGAGAGGGUAGCGGAAUUCCCAGUGUAGCGGUGAAAUGCGUAGAUAUUGGGAGGAACACCAGUGGCGAAGGCGGCUACCUGGACCGGUUCUGGCGCUGAGGCGCGAAAGCGUGGGUAGCAAACAGG